Molecule: ribosomal RNA, 1936 nt
Filed under: Escherichia coli
Lineage: Bacteria; Pseudomonadati; Pseudomonadota; Gammaproteobacteria; Enterobacterales; Enterobacteriaceae
Description: partial 23S ribosomal RNA
Rfam family: Bacterial large subunit ribosomal RNA
Source: RNAcentral
CCUCGUGAACUCAUCUCCGGGGGUAGAGCACUGUUUCGGCAAGGGGGUCAUCCCGACUUACCAACCCGAUGCAAACUGCGAAUACCGGAGAAUGUUAUCACGGGAGACACACGGCGGGUGCUAACGUCCGUCGUGAAGAGGGAAACAACCCAGACCGCCAGCUAAGGUCCCAAAGUCAUGGUUAAGUGGGAAACGAUGUGGGAAGGCCCAGACAGCCAGGAUGUUGGCUUAGAAGCAGCCAUCAUUUAAAGAAAGCGUAAUAGCUCACUGGUCGAGUCGGCCUGCGCGGAAGAUGUAACGGGGCUAAACCAUGCACCGAAGCUGCGGCAGCGACGCUUAUGCGUUGUUGGGUAGGGGAGCGUUCUGUAAGCCUGCGAAGGUGUACUGUGAGGUAUGCUGGAGGUAUCAGAAGUGCGAAUGCUGACAUAAGUAACGAUAAAGCGGGUGAAAAGCCCGCUCGCCGGAAGACCAAGGGUUCCUGUCCAACGUUAAUCGGGGCAGGGUGAGUCGACCCCUAAGGCGAGGCCGAAAGGCGUAGUCGAUGGGAAACAGGUUAAUAUUCCUGUACUUGGUGUUACUGCGAAGGGGGGACGGAGAAGGCUAUGUUGGCCGGGCGACGGUUGUCCCGGUUUAAGCGUGUAGGCUGGUUUUCCAGGCAAAUCCGGAAAAUCAAGGCUGAGGCGUGAUGACGAGGCACUACGGUGCUGAAGCAACAAAUGCCCUGCUUCCAGGAAAAGCCUCUAAGCAUCAGGUAACAUCAAAUCGUACCCCAAACCGACACAGGUGGUCAGGUAGAGAAUACCAAGGCGCUUGAGAGAACUCGGGUGAAGGAACUAGGCAAAAUGGUGCCGUAACUUCGGGAGAAGGCACGCUGAUAUGUAGGUGAAGUCCCUCGCGGAUGGAGCUGAAAUCAGUCGAAGAUACCAGCUGGCUGCAACUGUUUAUUAAAAACACAGCACUGUGCAAACACGAAAGUGGACGUAUACGGUGUGACGCCUGCCCGGUGCCGGAAGGUUAAUUGAUGGGGUCAGCGCAAGCGAAGCUCUUGAUCGAAGCCCCGGUAAACGGCGGCCGUAACUAUAACGGUCCUAAGGUAGCGAAAUUCCUUGUCGGGUAAGUUCCGACCUGCACGAAUGGCGUAAUGAUGGCCAGGCUGUCUCCACCCGAGACUCAGUGAAAUUGAACUCGCUGUGAAGAUGCAGUGUACCCGCGGCAAGACGGAAAGACCCCGUGAACCUUUACUAUAGCUUGACACUGAACAUUGAGCCUUGAUGUGUAGGAUAGGUGGGAGGCUUUGAAGUGUGGACGCCAGUCUGCAUGGAGCCGACCUUGAAAUACCACCCUUUAAUGUUUGAUGUUCUAACGUGGACCCGUAAUCCGGGUUGCGGACAGUGUCUGGUGGGUAGUUUGACUGGGGCGGUCUCCUCCUAAAGAGUAACGGAGGAGCACGAAGGUUGGCUAAUCCUGGUCGGACAUCAGGAGGUUAGUGCAAUGGCAUAAGCCAGCUUGACUGCGAGCGUGACGGCGCGAGCAGGUGCGAAAGCAGGUCAUAGUGAUCCGGUGGUUCUGAAUGGAAGGGCCAUCGCUCAACGGAUAAAAGGUACUCCGGGGAUAACAGGCUGAUACCGCCCAAGAGUUCAUAUCGACGGCGGUGUUUGGCACCUCGAUGUCGGCUCAUCACAUCCUGGGGCUGAAGUAGGUCCCAAGGGUAUGGCUGUUCGCCAUUUAAAGUGGUACGCGAGCUGGGUUUAGAACGUCGUGAGACAGUUCGGUCCCUAUCUGCCGUGGGCGCUGGAGAACUGAGGGGGGCUGCUCCUAGUACGAGAGGACCGGAGUGGACGCAUCACUGGUGUUCGGGUUGUCAUGCCAAUGGCACUGCCCGGUAGCUAAAUGCGGAAGAGAUAAGUGCUGAAAGCAUCUAAGCACGAAACUUGCC